This 124-nucleotide transfer RNA is filed under the name Armatimonadota bacterium. RNAcentral describes it as "Armatimonadetes bacterium tRNA-OTHER". It matches the Rfam family "transfer-messenger RNA", at positions 223 to 374 of the family's 374-position model. Rfam says of the family: Bacterial tmRNA, also known as 10Sa RNA or SsrA, is named for its dual tRNA and mRNA-like properties. Its role is to liberate the mRNA from a stalled ribosome. Lineage: Bacteria; Bacillati; Armatimonadota. The record is from RNAcentral.
GGAAGCGAGGGCCAAGACACGUGAUAUGGCAGGCCGCCCGAGGCGGCCUGCCCAACGAAGACGCUCGUAGGGUCCUUUGGGCACUGUCGAUCGGACGUGGGUUCGAUUCCCACCGCCUCCACCA